AGUAGUGGCGAGCGAAAUCGGACCAGCCAAAAAAGACAUAGGGCGCAAGAAGAACAUUCUGGGAAGGAUGACCAAAGAAGGUGAUAGUCCUGUAUUUAUAAGCAAACUAUGUAAAAACGAGUAGGGCGGAGCACGAGAAAUUCUGUCUGAAGAUGGGUAGACCACUAUCCAAGGCUAAGUACUACUGAUUGACCGAUAGUGAACAAGUACCGUGAGGGAAAGGUGAAAAGCACCCCGAUAAGGGGAGUGAAAGAGAACCUGAAACCGGAUGCCUACAAGCAGUCGGAGGAACAUUAAGUUCUGACGGCGUACCUUUUGUAUAAUGGGUCAGCGACUUAAUUUAUGUAGCAAGCCUAAGCCGAUAGGUGUAAGCGAAGCGAAAGCGAGUGUUAAUAGCGCGAAAAGUUACAUGGAUUAGACCCGAAACCGAGUGAUCUAGCUAUGAGCAGGUUGAAGGUUGGGUAACACCAACUGGAGGACCGCACCCACGCCUGUUGAAAAAGUCGGGGAUGACUUGUAGCUAGGGGUGAAAGGCCAAUCAAACUCGGAAAUAGCUGGUUCUCCGCGAAAACUAUUUAGGUAGUGCGGCAAGCGAAUACCUUGAGGGGUAGAGCACUGGAAGAAUGAGGGGGGAGCGAUCCUUACUAAAUUUUACCAAACUCCGAAUACUCAAGAGUAAUACUUGCCAGACAGACAGUAGGUGCUAAGGUCUAUUGUCGAGAGGGAAAGAGCCCAGACCGUCAAUUAAGGUCCCUAAAUUAUGGCUAAGUGGUAAAGGAAGUGAAUUGUCCAAAACAGUCAGGAGGUUGGCUUAGAAGCAGCCAUCCUUUAAAGAAAGCGUAAUAGCUCACUGAUCUAAUUAAGACGAUUUGCGCCGAAGAUGUAACGGGGCUAAAGCCAUAUACCGAAAUUACGGGUUUGUACUAAGUACAAGCGGUAGCGGAGCGUUCUGUAAGCCUGCGAAGGUGUUCCGUAAGGAAUGCUGGAGGUAUCAGAAGUGAGAAUGCUGACAUGAGUAGCGAAAAGAAGUGUGAGAGACACUUCCGCUGAAAGUCCAAGGUUUCCUGCGUAAAGCUAAUCUGCGCAGGGUUAGUCGGCCCCUAAGGUGAGGCUGAGAAGCGUAGCUGAUGGGAAGCAGGUUAAUAUUCCUGCACCAGCUAGGAGGUGACGGAUUUCAAAGAUUGUAACUGAUUAUUGGAUUUCGGUUGCAGUUCAGAAGUUCCAGGAAAGAGCCCUAGCAUAGACCGUACCCCAAACCGACACAGGUGGACAGGUAGAGAAUACCAAAGCGCUUGAGAGAACUAUGUUAAGGAACUAGGCAAAAUGCUUGUGUAACUUCGGGAUAAGCAAGCCCCAUUUUUAGGCAACUAAAGGUGGGGGGCACAUACUAGGGGGUAGCGACUGUUUACUAAAAACACAGGGCUCUGCUAAAUUGAAAGAUGAAGUAUAGGGUCUGACGCCUGCCCGGUGCUGGAAGGUUAAGGAGAGAUGUUCACGCAUUGAACUGAAGCCCCAGUAAACGGCGGCCGUAACUAUAACGGUCCUAAGGUAGCGAAAUUCCUUGUCGGGUAAGUUCCGACCUGCACGAAUGGCGUAACGACUUCCCCGCUGUCUCCAACAUAGGCUCAGCGAAAUUGAACUCUGAGUUAAGAUGCUCAGUACCCGCGGUUAGACGGAAAGACCCCGUGAACCUUUACUAUAGCUUUGCAGUGGUAUUAGGUAAUAGAUGUGUAGAAUAGGUGGGAUGCUAUGAAGCAGGGACGCUAGUUCUUGUGGAGCAGACUUUGAAAUACCACCCUUUUGUUAUUUGAUAUCUAACCUGCUCCCGUAGAUCCGGGAGAGGGACCCUGCAUGGUGGGUAGUUUGACUGGGGCGGUCGCCUCCCAAAGAGUAACGGAGGCGUGCGAAGGUUAGCUCAGACUGGUCGGAAAUCAGUCGUCGAGUGCAAUGGCAUAAGCUAGCCUGACUGCGAGAGAGACAUUUCGAGCAGAUACGAAAGUAGGUCAUAGUGAUCCGGUGGUCCCGAG
This 2027-nucleotide ribosomal RNA is filed under the name human gut metagenome. RNAcentral's name for it is "bacterial LSU rRNA". It matches the Rfam family "Bacterial large subunit ribosomal RNA", at positions 242 to 2433 of the family's 2925-position model. The record is from RNAcentral.